This is a long non-coding RNA of Gadus morhua (Atlantic cod), 600 nucleotides long. RefSeq lists it as uncharacterized. The record is from RefSeq and is a predicted model, not a curated record. NCBI's taxonomy places the organism in Eukaryota, Metazoa, Chordata, Actinopteri, Gadiformes, Gadidae. The transcript is spliced from 2 exons.
UUUCCCCAUUUCGCUCCCUCUGCUGUCGCCAGUUUUAGGACAUCCUUACGCCCAUGGAAAAACGUCCCUGCCCAGGCUUUCUCUGACAUCCUUGAUAUCUCAGAGCGGUUCCUCAUAUCAUCCGGUCUUCCUCAGUCCCCUUGGUUCUGAGAGACGAGAAGAGAGGGUUGGAGUCAUGGAUCUCGGACAGCAAAUAUCGGCGACUGCAUCGACUACAGCCAGCGGAAGAGGAUGAACAUCGCCGACCUGAUCCAGGAAACCCUGGAGCUGUUUGAGCGCCACGGGGGGAAUGACGCCUUUAUCAACAUCAAGUACAUGGUGCCCACCUACGAGUCCUGCAUGCUCAACUGACCCGAGGCGGCUUCACACAACCUCUAAUUCUUUCCUUCAACUCGUAGCACAAAUUCGUUUUUUCAUGUGUUUAUUGGUGCGAUUGUGUUUCUCUUCAUAUUGCUCUGGGCCGUUCUUCACCCUGCUGUUACCUGAGCCCCCCCACACACACAUACACACACAUACACACACACACACAUGCCCCUCUCCCUCUCCUUUUUUUAUCAUACUGUGUGACCCCCAUUAAAAUCAUACCGGCAAGCCACUUAA